RNAcentral lists this ribosomal RNA (119 nucleotides) under Pteropus alecto (black flying fox). The record is from RNAcentral. Lineage: Eukaryota; Metazoa; Chordata; Mammalia; Chiroptera; Pteropodidae.
GUCUAUGGCCAUGCCACCCUGAACACGCCCAAUCCCGUCUGAUCUCGGAAGCUAAGCAGGGUCAAGCCUGGUUAGUACUUAGAUGAGAGACCACCUAGGAAGACCAGGUGCUGAAGGCA